AACCUGGUUGAUCCUGCCAGUGGCCACUGCUAUUGGGAUUCGACUAAGCCAUGCGAGUCGAGAGGGUUCGGCCCUCGGCUGACGGCUCAGUAACACGUGGAUAAUCUGCCCUUAGGUGGAGGAUAACCUCGGGAAACUGAGAAUAAUACUCCAUAGGUCUAGGAUGCUGGAAUGCAUCUAGACUGAAAACUCCGGUGCCUAAGGAUGAGUCUGCGGACUAUCAGGUUGUAGUCAGGGUAAAGACCUGACUAGCCUACGACGGAUAUGGGUUGUGAGAGCAAUAACCCAGAGAUGAUAUCUGAGACACGAUAUCAGGCCCUACGGGGCGCAGCAGGCGCGAAAACUUCACACUGUGCGAAAGCACGAUGAGGGAAUCCCAAGUGCCAGCUCGUAAGAGUUGGCUGUUUUUCUGUCUAAAACACAGAGAGAGUAAGAGCUGGGUAAGACGGGUGCCAGCCGCCGCGGUAAUACCUGCAGCUCGAGUGGUGGCCGCUAUUAUUGGGCCUAAAACGUCCGUAGCCGGUUUGGUAAAUGCCUGGGUAAAUCGUGUAGCUUAACUAUACGAAUUCCGGGUAGACUGCUAAACUUGAGACCGGGAGAGGCUAGAGGUACUCCUGGGGUAGAGGUGAAAUUCUGUAAUCCUGGGGGGACCACCAGUGGCGAAGGCGUCUAGCUAGAACGGAUCUGACGGUGAGGGACAAAGCCCUGGGGCGCAAACCGGAUUAGAUACCCGGGUAGUCCAGGGUGUAAACGCUGCUUGCUUGAUGUUAGUUGGGCUCCGAGCCCAAUUAGUGU
This 795-nucleotide ribosomal RNA is filed under the name uncultured organism. RNAcentral describes it as "bacterial SSU rRNA". It matches the Rfam family "Archaeal small subunit ribosomal RNA", at positions 1 to 801 of the family's 1478-position model. The record is from RNAcentral.